UGCAUUGCUGAUAGGUGUGUCAAUGCCUGUGUAGGGACCACACUUUGGAUGGCAAGGCUCUAUCCUUCCCUAAUCCUCAUAGCUCAGUGCAUGUGGCCAAGGCCAUGGAUGGGAGACCUGGGAAGCAGGUGGAAGUGAACACAGGAAGACAUCUGAGACACAGGUCUGGAGGCUUGCUGAAGGGUGUUCUCACCAGGUACUGUCCUGAAAUCUGUAGUCCUCCCCAACACACACACACAUGCACACACACCUACACACCCACACCUCCUUCUUUUUUUUUUUUAAUUUUUAUUUAUUUAUGAUAGUCACACACAGAGAGAGAGAGAGGCAGAGACACAGGCAGAGGGAGAAGCAGGCUCCAUGCACCGGGAGCCCGACGUGGGAUUCGAUCCCGGGUCUCCAGGAUCGCGCCCUGGGCCAAAGGCAGGCGCCAAACCGCUGCGCCACCCAGGGAUCCCCCCACACCUCCUUCUGAAUCCAGUCUUGAACACCCAUGAAGGAGAACCAUCCCAAUGGGAGGAUGGAAUCCCAGCAGACACCUUUCAUUCUUUCCUGGAGACACCCCCAGCAAGUGAGAAGAUGACGUUAUUAUUUCUUAAUAUAUGGAUUUUUUUUCUAAUUACAAAGAAACCACACAAAUGACCCGUAGAAAACUUGGAAAACAGGAACACACAAAGAUGGCUGUAAAAAGCCCCCAUAAUCCAAGUUAACCGCGGUUAACAUAUUGGUGUAUUUCCUUCUAUCCUUUUUUUCUUUAAGUAGUAGCCCAAGGCCAUGUGAACGAUCUGGGCUUAAGAUCUAUCUUUUGACUUUAAUUAUGUGUAGUUGGACUCUCUAAGAC
This 841-nucleotide long non-coding RNA is filed under the name Canis lupus familiaris (dog). RNAcentral describes it as "lncRNA (ENSCAFG00845013845.1)". Lineage: Eukaryota; Metazoa; Chordata; Mammalia; Carnivora; Canidae. The record is from RNAcentral.